This 433-nucleotide ribosomal RNA is filed under the name uncultured bacterium. RNAcentral describes it as "partial 16S ribosomal RNA". It matches the Rfam family "Bacterial small subunit ribosomal RNA", at positions 29 to 507 of the family's 1533-position model. The record is from RNAcentral.
AACGAACGCUGGCGGCAUGCCUAACACAUGCAAGUCGAACGAGACCUUCGGGUCUAGUGGCGCACGGGUGCGUAACGCGUGGGAACCUGCCCUUAGGUUCGGCAUAACUCCCCGAAAGGGGUGCUAAUACCGGAUAAUGUCUCCGGACCAAAGAUUUAUCGCCUUUGGAUGGGCCCGCGUUGGAUUAGCUAGUUGGUAGGGUAAAAGCCUACCAAGGCGACGAUCCAUAGCUGGUCUGAGAGGAUGAUCAGCCACACUGGGACUGAGACACGGCCCAGACUCCUACGGGAGGCAGCAGUGGGGAAUAUUGGACAAUGGGCGAAAGCCUGAUCCAGCAAUGCCGCGUGAGUGAUGAAGGCCUUAGGGUUGUAAAGCUCUUUUACCCGGGAUGAUAAUGACAGUACCGGGAUAAUAAGCUCCGGCUAACUCCGUG